RNAcentral lists this long non-coding RNA (313 nucleotides) under Astyanax mexicanus (Mexican tetra). RNAcentral's name for it is "lncRNA (ENSAMXG00005025122.1)". Lineage: Eukaryota; Metazoa; Chordata; Actinopteri; Characiformes; Acestrorhamphidae. The record is from RNAcentral.
CUUUGCAGAAGAGGGGGGAAAAAUCAAAGAACGGAGGGCUUGCGGGAGUGGCAGGGGAGAGAAAAAAAACACUGACGGAGAGGUGAGGAGCGCUGCAAUGGAGGACGGCUACUUCCUGUUCCUGCUGGAGUGACCCGCAGGUCUGAGGAGGAGCGAGGAGAGACAGAGCGAGAGAGAGGGGGAGAGAGAGUGAGUUUUACUGAAGGAGAUAAAAGUAGUGAGGAUUAAUAUCGGUGAACCUUCGCGUCCUCUCUGCAUCCCCUCAAAGUGCCAACAUUAAUCCAGCAGCCCCACCACUCUUUAAGAAAGACCU